AGACCCGAAACCCGGUGAUCUAGCCAUGGGCAGGUUGAAGGUUGGGUAACACUAACUGGAGGACCGAACCGACUAAUGUUGAAAAAUUAGCGGAUGACCUGUGGCUGGGGGUGAAAGGCCAAUCAAACCGGGAGAUAGCUGGUUCUCCCCGAAAGCUAUUUAGGUAGCGCCUCGUGAAUUCAUCUCCGGGGGUAGAGCACUGUUUCGGCUAGGGGGCCAUCCCGGCUUACCAACCCGAUGCAAACUGCGAAUACCGGAGAAUGUUAUCACGGGAGACACACGGCGGGUGCUAACGUCCGUCGUGAAGAGGGAAACAACCCAGACCGCCAGCUAAGGUCCCAAAGUCAUGGUUAAGUGGGAAACGAUGUGGGAAGGCCCAGACAGCCAGGAUGUUGGCUUAGAAGCAGCCAUCAUUUAAAGAAAGCGUAAUAGCUCACUGGUCGAGUCGGCCUGCGCGGAAGAUGUAACGGGGCUAAACCAUGCACCGAAGCUGCGGCAGCGACACUGUGUGUUGUUGGGUAGGGGAGCGUUCUGUAAGCCUGUGAAGGUGUGUCGUGAGGCAUGCUGGAGGUAUCAGAAGUGCGAAUGCUGACAUAAGUAACGAUAAAGCGGGUGAAAAGCCCGCUCGCCGGAAGACCAAGGGUUCCUGUCCAACGUUAAUCGGGGCAGGGUGAGUCGACCCCUAAGGCGAGGCCGAAAGGCGUAGUCGAUGGGAAACGGGUUAAUAUUCCCGUACUU
Molecule: ribosomal RNA, 738 nt
Filed under: Salmonella enterica
Lineage: Bacteria; Pseudomonadati; Pseudomonadota; Gammaproteobacteria; Enterobacterales; Enterobacteriaceae
Also listed under: 1 other name
Description: partial 23S ribosomal RNA
Rfam family: Bacterial large subunit ribosomal RNA
Source: RNAcentral